UUCCCUGUAGCUCAGUUGGUAGAGCAUGGUGUUUGCAACGCCAGGGUUGUGGGUUCGAUUCCCACGGGGGAGC
Molecule: non-coding RNA, 73 nt
Organism: Salmo salar (Atlantic salmon)
Lineage: Eukaryota; Metazoa; Chordata; Actinopteri; Salmoniformes; Salmonidae
Source: Rfam